GUAGGUGGCAAGCGUUGUCCGGGAAUUAUUGGGGCGUAAAGCGCGCGCAGGCGGUUCUUUAAGUCUGAUGUGAAAGCCCACGGGCUCAACCGUGGAGGGUCAUUGGAAACUGGAGAACUUGAGUACAGAAGAGGAAAGCGGAAUUCCACGUGUAGCGGUGAAAUGCGUAGAGAUGUGGAGGAACACCAGUGGCGAAGGCGGCUUUCUGGUCUGUAACUGACGCUGAGGCGCGAAAGCGUGGGGAGCAAACAGGAUUAGAUACCCUGGUAGUCCACGCCGUAAACGAUGAGUGCUAAGUGUUAGGGGGUUUCCGCCCCUUAGUGCUGCAGCUAACGCAUUAAGCACUCUGCCUGGGGAGUACGGCCGCAAAGGCUG
RNAcentral lists this ribosomal RNA (375 nucleotides) under uncultured organism. RNAcentral's name for it is "partial 16S ribosomal RNA". It matches the Rfam family "Bacterial small subunit ribosomal RNA", at positions 527 to 896 of the family's 1533-position model. The record is from RNAcentral.